RNAcentral lists this ribosomal RNA (500 nucleotides) under uncultured bacterium. Its description in RNAcentral is "partial 16S ribosomal RNA". It matches the Rfam family "Bacterial small subunit ribosomal RNA", at positions 30 to 523 of the family's 1533-position model. The record is from RNAcentral.
AUUGAACGCUGGCGGAAUGCUUUACACAUGCAAGUCGAACGGCAGCACGGACUUCGGUCUGGUGGCGAGUGGCGAACGGGUGAGUAAUGUAUCGGAACGUGCCCAGUCGUGGGGGAUAACGUAGUGAAAAUUACGCUAAUACCGCAUACGAUCUAUGGAUGAAAGCGGGGGAUCGCAAGACCUCGCGCGAUUGGAGCGGCCGAUAUCAGAUUAGGUAGUUGGUGGGGUAAAGGCCCACCAAGCAAACGAUCUGUAGCUGGUCUUAGAGGACGACCAGCCACACUGGAACUGAGACACGGUCCAGACUCCUACGGGAGGCAGCAGUGGGGAAUUUUGGACAAUGAGCGAAAGCCUGAUCCAGCCAUUCCGCGUGCAGGAUGAAGGCCCUCGGGUUGUAAACUGCUUUUGUACAGAACGAAAAGGUUUCUACUAAUACUAGGAGCUCAUGACGGUACUGUAAGAAUAAGCACCGGCUAACUACGUGCCAGCCGCCGCGGUAA